UGGGGUGACUGCGUACCUUUUGUAUAAUGGGUCAGCGACUUAUAUUCUGUAGCAAGGUUAACCGAAUAGGGGAGCCGGAGGGAAACCGAGUCUUAAUUGGGCGUUAAGUUGCAGGGUAUAGACCCGAAACCCGGUGAUCUAGCCAUGGGCAGGUUGAAGGUUGGGUAACACUAACUGGAGGACCGAACCGACUAAUGUUGAAAAAUUAGCGGAUGACCUGUGGCUGGGGGUGAAAGGCCAAUCAAACCGGGAGAUAGCUGGUUCUCCCCGAAAGCUAUUUAGGUAGCGCCUCGUGAAUUCAUCUCCGGGGGUAGAGCACUGUUUCGGCUAGGGGGCCAUCCCGGCUUACCAACCCGAUGCAAACUGCGAAUACCGGAGAAUGUUAUCACGGGAGACACACGGCGGGUGCUAACGUCCGUCGUGAAGAGGGAAACAACCCAGACCGCCAGCUAAGGUCCCAAAGUCAUGGUUAAGUGGGAAACGAUGUGGGAAGGCCCAGACAGCCAGGAUGUUGGCUUAGAAGCAGCCAUCAUUUAAAGAAAGCGUAAUAGCUCACUGGUCGAGUCGGCCUGCGCGGAAGAUGUAACGGGGCUAAACCAU
RNAcentral lists this ribosomal RNA (600 nucleotides) under Salmonella enterica. RNAcentral describes it as "partial 23S ribosomal RNA". It matches the Rfam family "Bacterial large subunit ribosomal RNA", at positions 589 to 1190 of the family's 2925-position model. RNAcentral also lists the same sequence under 2 other names. The record is from RNAcentral. Lineage: Bacteria; Pseudomonadati; Pseudomonadota; Gammaproteobacteria; Enterobacterales; Enterobacteriaceae.